GGGGGGAAACGGUCACCAGGGCGACCAACAAUCGGUGGGUCUAGAGGGAGGACAGCCACACUGGGGAUGAGACACGGGCCCCAAAUUCCCACGGGAGGGAGCAGUGGGGAAAAUUGGACAUGGGGCGCAAGCCUGGACCCAGCCAUGCCGCGUGAGUGAAUGAAGGCCCUAAGGGUUGUAAAGCUCUUUUCAACGGUGAAAAAAAUGACGGUAACCGUAAAAAUAGCCCCGGCUAACUUUCUUGCCAGCAGCCGCGGUAAUUACGAAGGGGGCUAGCGUUGUUCGGAAAUACUGGGCGUAAAGCGCACGUAGGCGAUUGGAAGUUAAAGGUGAAUCCCAGGGCUUCAACCCUGGAACUGCCUUUAAACUAUCAUCUAGAGUCGAGAGAGGUGAGUGGAAUUCCAAUGUAAAGUGAAAUCGUAAAUAUCGAGGAACACCAGUGGCGAAGGGCUUAUGGUCGAUACUGCCCUAAGUGCAAAAUUGGGAACAAACGGAUAAGAACCCUGG
Molecule: ribosomal RNA, 507 nt
Filed under: uncultured bacterium
Lineage: Bacteria
Description: bacterial SSU rRNA
Rfam family: Bacterial small subunit ribosomal RNA
Source: RNAcentral